AGCUUUGCGCAGUGGCAGUAUCGUAGCCAAUGAGGUUUAUCCGAGGCGCGAUUAUUGCUAAUUGUAUUAGGGGAGAAACGAAAACAAAUAG
This 91-nucleotide small nuclear RNA is filed under the name Neogale vison (American mink). RNAcentral describes it as "Neovison vison (American mink) U4 spliceosomal RNA (ENSNVIG00000012315.1)". The stretch from base 1 to 67 matches the Rfam family "U4 spliceosomal RNA". Rfam says of the family: U4 small nuclear RNA (U4 snRNA) is a component of the major U2-dependent spliceosome. The structure of U4 snRNA from yeast and human has been reported. The record is from RNAcentral. Lineage: Eukaryota; Metazoa; Chordata; Mammalia; Carnivora; Mustelidae.